This 77-nucleotide ribozyme is filed under the name unclassified sequences. RNAcentral's name for it is "HDV ribozyme from F. prausnitzii". It matches the Rfam family "HDV ribozyme from F. prausnitzii". The record is from RNAcentral.
GUCGCUUAAAGCUUUGCACACCUCUACGCGGUGAGCGGCAGGCAACGCAGUAUGGAUGCUGUGGCUAAGGUGCAGAG